RNAcentral lists this transfer RNA (83 nucleotides) under Paenibacillus roseus. It matches the Rfam family "tRNA". From Rfam's summary of the family: Transfer RNA (tRNA) molecules are approximately 80 nucleotides in length. Their secondary structure includes four short double-helical elements and three loops (D, anti-codon, and T loops). The record is from Rfam by way of RNAcentral. Lineage: Bacteria; Bacillati; Bacillota; Bacilli; Caryophanales; Paenibacillaceae.
GCGAGUAUGGUGAAAUUGGUAGACACGAUUGAUUUAGGCUCAGUGAUCGAGAGAUCUUGCGGGUUCAAGUCCUGCUACUCGUA